CUUCGAGAGCGGAGCGCGGCCUGCCCAGAGUGCCUUCUAUAUCCUGGGUCAGGCGCCAAGCUCCCCAGCAUCAUGCAGAAAGCUGCAGCCCCGCAGAGUUAGGACAGCUCACUUGGCACCCGGCGAGCCUUUCCCAGGCCCGCAGCCCAGAAUAGAGCCGGGGCCCAAGACGCCCGCUAGAG
Nomascus leucogenys (northern white-cheeked gibbon) is the source of this 182-nucleotide unclassified non-coding RNA. NCBI's taxonomy places the organism in Eukaryota, Metazoa, Chordata, Mammalia, Primates, Hylobatidae. The record is from Ensembl.